GUCAUAAUAGACGAGGUUAGCGAAGCGGCCAUGGCGGGGCUGCUCGGCCAUGGCGGUUCUUUCAACGUGGCCAGGCUGGGAGCACUAGGGUAGCAGCUCACAGCGCUGUCACAGCAAUGUGCUAUCCGAUCGAUCGAUCUGGGUCUCGGGUUUAGUUUCUAGAGGUUUCCGGCUUCUCCACAGCUAGUGGUUUCGUCCUCCGGCCUAUGGCACCGCUAGAAAAUCCUCCAAACCUUGAAGAACAGAUCGAGAUUUAGGAGCAGCGAGAGAUUGCACGAAAGAUCUUGCGUUGGGAGCUCGACCGCAAUUCUGCCUAGCUGCUCUAUCGAAGAUUUGCAAGUCGAGCGUUCAAACAGAGUGCUCAAGAGAUUGAGCUCCGUCCAUAAAUUCAAUCCUUUCUGGGCUCCGACCAAUGUGAUGCCGCGAUUCAAAUUUCUGGCGCUUGGUGCCUCAACAUGGGUAAUACCAUACGUAUUGAAAUAUCACAUAUUGAAUGAUUUUGGAACAGCUCAUGCACAACAAGGGAACUCUUUUGAUUAUAUAUACAUAUUUGUGCAGUUGGAGGCAUUUAUACAAUAUACAAAUUGAUUUCCUUGGAUUUCUUGUCUUUGGUCUAGUAAAAUUCAACAUUGGCAAAAGAGAACUCCAAGAUUAAAAUCAGGACACCAUUUGCAUCCAUUGCAUUGUGGUUUAAUGCAUCUAGUUGUUG
RNAcentral lists this long non-coding RNA (709 nucleotides) under Selaginella moellendorffii. RNAcentral describes it as "long non-coding RNA (SMOE_LNC001377)". Lineage: Eukaryota; Viridiplantae; Streptophyta; Lycopodiopsida; Selaginellales; Selaginellaceae. The record is from RNAcentral.